CAAGAAGCUAGUCCCUGAGUUCUUGUCAUACUCUAGCAUGGUGUGUCCAAUUAACAGAACCCAGAUAGAAAUGAGCUUUGUUCUCAAUAGCUCCCACUUACGGUAAGUUCUAUGGAACAAGGUAAAAGAGUUCCAGUGUGGUCAAUAGACUGAGGAGUAGAGUAAAACUUAAAUACCCAACAGUCCAGGCCGUGAAGUCACCAUAAGCAUGGAGCAGAUUUAGCCCUUCAUAGGAAUGGGGAAUUGGUAGGUGUGGUGUUUGCCCAUUCGUUUGAAAAUGUCUGUACAGGGGAGAGAGAAAGGGUUAAAAAUAUAGACCAAUAGGAAAGUCGGAGGCGGAGCCUACCCGUUUAUAAAAGGGCUUAGCCCGAGGUUUGAGUGUGGGUGGUUGGUUGGUUUUAGUGGGUUGGUUGGUUGGGAAAGGCAGUUGGAAAAGCAGUUGGCAGGCAGUUGGAAAUAGAGAGACAGUUAGUGCAAUGGGUUCUUUUGUGAGGGGAGGUAGAAGAGAUAGAGACAGGAUAAAAGAAGAUUAAGAAGGUAAUGAGUAACGUUUGGAAUGCAGUUAAAGUCUGCAAUAAACUACACUCUUCUUUGUUAACUUGAGAACCUGACUGAGACUAAGUGAUUUACCAGGGGGGACCUGGUUGGUGGCAGCGGAUUAGUGGUGUAUGGGUCAAUAGUCCGUGAGAUGACCGGGGGCUCCGUAUGAAUGCCACAGUAGGUAUCCAGUUAUUAUAAGACUAUAGUUUCCAUUAACCAUGACCAUUGACUAUGCUGGCUGAGGCUGAUGGGAGUUGGAUUCCAACAACAUCUGGAGGAUCACAGGUUACCCACUCUUAAGCCACACCACACUUGCAUCAAACAUUGAGUAGAACACCAGAGGGCCCAUCACUACCACAGGGUUUUGGUAAUAUGACAAAGUUGCUUGUUUUAAACAGUUUUGGAUUUUGCAAAGAAAAAAGAAAAUAAAUAUAUUCCUGCCCACCUCACAUUCAUCACAGGCAAUUUGUUAUUAUCAGAUAAUGACAUCUUUUAAGCAAAAUAAUAGUGUCUCACAGUCAGGCAGUAAGCAAGCCGCAUAAGCAAACUGUUCAUUAUGAAGCUCUGCGGCUAGUAUAUUACAUGAACAAAACACUGGAAUUCUUCACUUCAGUCUGAAAAACACAAAAUCCUCAGUGAUCUGAGUGGGGCUGGAGUCCAUGUGAAACAUCUACCAUAUGUAACACGUGUCCCCCCCCCAACAAUUAGCUAGGGAAAUAUAGCUAUAGAUAUAUACUCUGUGUGUGUGUGUGUGUGUGUGUGUAGUCAGUAUACCAUGCAGAAUAUAGGUGCAAAGUUGCUCAGGUUGGUAUCAUAGCAACAAAACCAAUAUUCUAGCACCCUAAUUUGCAUAUAUGGUGUGGGGGUGGAGUAGUCUCUAUUCUUAGAUUCAGAUUUAGUAGAUACCAGCAAUUGAUCAUGUGUCAAGGGUGCUUCCAACCCUUUAUUGUAAACAAAAAAAGAACACCAUCACUUCUGCAGUUCUGGAUACCUGCACACACUGUCCUAGCAUCUAGGCAGCUACUCCCAGGUCCACAAUCUAUGGAGCAGUUGCAGCAACUGGGGACCACUCCCCCUCCACCAGUUUAUGUACCUUCCCCUGACAGGCUGCAUGCACCUAGCCAGAGACUAUGCCUGUGUAGAAGCUACCCCUGCUCUUCCUGCUUCAGUUCUCUCCUGGUUCUGGGAGGCAGUGGUGCAGGAGAAGGUGGGGAAGCACCCAGCCUUUCACUUGCCUGUCCUGCCUCUUCCUCCAGUUCUGAAGCCCACCCCCCGCCUCUGAUUCUCGCCUCCUGUCUUGUACAGGCCCCCACAAACCACAGUCCCCCUCUCCUGAGUCAGCCCACUUCCAGCAGUGCACACUCACAGCGUUCUGCCCGUCCCUGAUGUCAUGAAGGAAACAGGCUCUGUAUGCAUUUAAACCUUUCGUUACGCAUUGGCAUGUGUUGAUUCAUUUCAAUAUAUGCAACUGUAAAGUUGCCAGGCCAUAUUCCCUCUCCUUUUCCAUGAAAUGCUUCCCUUACGCAUCUCUAGCCAUCGAUCUCCUUGCAGUUGCAGUAAUAGGGCAUCCUAUCCACAACAAUUCCUGAGAUGAAGUUACCAUAAGGCAUGGGUAGGCAAACUAAGGCCCAGGGGCUGGAUCUGGCCCAAUCACCUUCUAAAUCUGGCCUGUGGGCGGUCCGGGAACCAGCAUGUUUUUACAUGAAUAGAAUGUGUCCUUUUAUUUAAAAUGCUUCUCUGGGUUAUUUGUGGGGCAUAGGAAUUCAUUCAUUUUUUCCCUCCAAAAUAUAGUCCGGCCCCCCACAAAGUCUGAGGGACAGUGGACUGGCCCCCUGCUGAAAAAGUUUGCUGCCCCCUGCAAGGUGUUAUGCCAAACAGGUAAUAGUAGGAAACAUGAGGGUGUGCACACAAGGCCUUCCUCAGUUUCCCCCUGCAUGCCAGGCUCUGUGUUGAAUUGAGAAGGUCCACAGGAAGCCCUUAAAUGAGCUCAUCUGGAAACAAUUGGAAAAUUCUGCCUGACCCUGGCCUAUCUGAGUUCCUGGUUGUGUUGAUGCUUCUAAGCAUAUCCAUCUGAAUACCUGGCACGGAGAAUGCCAAAGAUAGAGUGCCUGGGGGCUGAUAUCACCCCACAUGCUGAACAUUAUCUUUUUUUUUAAAAAAAAUGAUAUUUAUUAAAGUUUCAAAGAAAAAAUUACAUAGAUAAAAAGAAAAGAAAAAGAAAUAAAAAAGAAAAAAAUACAAAAUACAGAAAAAAGAUAAAAAACACUUUAAAAAAAAACACACAUCGAUCUUUCCAUAACUUACAUUUCAUUUCCUUACUUCCCUGACUUCCUCACACCUCCCUUUUUUUGUAUUCCAGUUCUAUUAGUUAAUUCAGCAAUUCCUUUCCCUCUUUGUUUUUGUCUUAAUCCUUUAACUUAACAUAUUAUAACUUUAGAUUCUCAUCUGUUAACAAUCCAUUUGUACAUACACCUUUAUAACAUUGCUGCUAAGACCACUUAAUUUCAUUCUGACAUCAUUCUAACAUUCAUUAAUUUUGCAAUAUUUCUGUAAAUAGUCUUUAAAUUUCUUCCAAUCUUCUUCCACCGACUCUUCUCCCUGGUCUCGGAUUCUGCCAGUCAUUUCCGCCAGUUCCAUAUAGUCCAUCACCUUCAUCUGCCAUUCUUCCAGAGUGGGUAAAUCUUGUGUCUUCCAAUACUUUGCAAUAAGUAUUCUUGCUGCUGUUGUGGCAUACAUAAAGAAAAUUCUGUCCUUCUUUGGCACCAAUUGGCCGACCAUGCCCAGGAGAAAAGCCUCUGGUUUCUUCAAGAAGGUAUAUUUAUAUACCUUUUUCAUUUCAUUAUAGAUCAUCUCCCAGAAAGCCUUAAUCCUUGGGCAAGUCCACCAAAGGUGAAAGAAUGUACCUUCAGUCUCUUUACAUUUCCAACAUUUAUUAUCGGGCAAGUGAUAGAUUUUUGCAAGCUUGACUGGUGUCAUGUACCACCUGUAUAUCAUUUUCAUAAUAUUCUCUCUUAAGGCAUUACAUGCCGUAACUUCAUACCUGUGGUCCAUAACUGUUCCCAGUCAGCCAUCAUUAUGUUAUGUCCAACAUCUUGUGCCCACUUAAUCAUAGCAGAUUUAACCGUUUCAUCCUGAGUAUUCCAUUUCAACAGCAAGUUAUACAUCUUUGACAAAAUCUUAGUUUUGGGUUCUAACAGUUCUGUUUCUAAUUUUGAUUUUUCCACCUGGAAGCCUAUUUUCUUAUCCAAAUUGUAUGCCUCCAUUAUCUGAUAAUAAUGAAGCCAAUCUCGCACUUUGUUUUUUAGUUUCUCAAAGCUCUGCAAUUUCAGUCUAUCUCCCUCUUGUUCCAGAAUUUCCCAAUAUUUCGGCCAUUUGGCCUCCAUAUUGAGCUUUUUCAGAGCUUUCGCUUCCAUCGGUGACAGCCACCUUGGGGUUUUAUUUUCCAGUAGGUCUUUAUAUCUUAUCCAGACAUUAAACAAUGCUUUCCUGACAAUAUGAUUUUUAAAUGCUUUAUGUGCUUUGACCUUAUCAUACCACAAAUAUGCAUGCCAUCCAAAUACAUUAUUAAAACCUUCUAAGUCCAAAAUGUCUGUGUUUUCAAGAAGCAGCCAUUCUUUCAGCCAGCAAAAAGCUGCUGAUUCAUAAUAAAGUUUAAGGUCUGGCAGGGCAAAUCCACCUCUUUCCUUUGCAUCCGUUAGUAUUUUAAAUUUUAUUCUAGGCUUCUUGCCCUGCCAGACAAAUCUAGAGAUAUCUCUCUGCCACCUCUUGAAGCAAUCCAUUUUGUCCAAAAUUUGCAAUGUUUGAAAGAGAAAUAACAUUCUAGGCAAUACAUUCAUUUUUAUCGCAGCAAUACGGCCUAGCAGUGAAAGCUUCAAAUUUGACCAAAUUUCUAAGUCUUUUUUCACUUCAGCCCAGCAUUUUUCAUAAUUGUCUUUAAAUAGAUUCCCAAUUAUUGCUGUCAUGUUAAUCCCCAGGUAUUUCACUUUCUUAACCACUGUUAAACCUGUCUCAUUCUGAAACCUCUCUUCUCAAUCACAGUUAAGUUUUUCUCUAAGACCUUUGUUUUUAACUUAUUCAAUUUAAAUCCUGCAACCUGACCAAAUUCUUGAAUCAGUUCCAAAACCCUUUUAGUACUAGAUUCUGGCUCCUGCAAUGUCAAUACUAAGUCAUCUGCAAAUGCUCUCAAUUUGUACUGUUUAGCUCCGACUUGUAUACCUUUAACCAAUUGGUCCCUUCUAAUCAUAUUCAGCAGGACCUCCAGGACCGAUAUAAAUAGCAAUGGGGAGAUUGGGCAACCUUGUCGUGUCCCUUUUUCUAUCUUAAAUUCCUCCGUCACCACGUUAUUUACAAUUAAUUUAGCCUUUUGUUCUGAAUAAAUUGCACUUAUACCGUUUUCAAAGCCUUGGCCUACCCCCAUCCCCUGUAGGUUCUUCUUCAUGAAACUCCAAGAAAUAUUGUCAAAGGCUUUCUCCGCGUCCACAAAUAUCAAAACUGCCUUGGUAUUUAUAUUCACUUGUAGUUUUUCUAAAAUAUUGAUUAUGUUUCUCACAUUGUCAGACAAAUGUCUACCCGGAGAAAGCCUGCUUGAUCUUUAUGUAUCUCUUCCAUUAGGACUCUUUUUAGUCUUUUAGCCAAAAUGUCUGCAAAGAUUUUGUAAUCCACAUUGAGCAGUGAUAUGGGGCGGUAGUUCUUAAGCUGGGUCUUUUCAGUCUCUAUUUUCGGUACAAGUGUAAUAUACGCUUCUUUCCACGACUCUGGUGCCCUUUUCCCACCCAUUAUUUCGUUACAGACUUCCUUUAAAGGUUGUACUAGCCAUUCCUUCAAGGAUCUGUAGUAUCUAGAAGUCAGUCCAUCCGGUCCUGGAGAUUUACCUAGUUGCAUAUUCUGAAUGGCACCUUCUACCUCCUGUUCAGUUAUUUUAUAGUUCAGCAUUAAUUUAUUUUCUUGAGAGAUUUUUUGUAAUCCAUUUGUUUUCAAAAAUCGGUCUACAUCAAUUUCUUUCUGUGGCCCUUGUGUAUAUAGUUGUUUAAAAUACCUCUGGAAACAAUUUCUAAUCUCAACUGGGUUCUGUAUAUUCCUUCCUUCCACUUCUAAAUUUGUGACAGUAUUUAGUUUUUGUCUUUUUUUCAUUUGCCAAGCCAACAAUUUCCCACAUUUAUUAGCCGACUCAAAUGUCUUUUGUCUCAUUUGUUUAAUUUUCCAUUCUAUCUCCUGAUUCAUCAUUUUCAUGUAUUGUACUUGAUAUAACUUUAUUUCUCUCAAAAUCUCUUGCGACUUUGGUUUUGCUCUCAAUUUCUUUUCACUUUCCUUUAUUUUCUCCAAUAUUUUAUCCUUCUUCUCAUUUUGGAUUCUCUUCUUUAAUGCAUUCUGUUGUAUCAAGAACCCUCUCAUAACAGCUUUGCUUGCGUCCCAGAUUACUCUUUUUUCAACAUUGGUGUUCAUAUUUAUCUCAAAAUAGUCUCUCAAGGUUUUUUGGGCCUUCUUAAUGACUUCUUCAUCUCUAAAUAAGGCAUCAUUCAUCCUCCAUCUGAAGGAGCCGGUUGGUGUUAGUUUCAUCUCCAUCUUAACAGCAUUAUGGUCGGAGCAGGUUUUUGGGCAGAUUUCUGCUUUUCUUGUCUUUGGUGCCAUUCCUCUAGUUAGCCAUAUUUGGUCAAUUCUUGUCCAUGUCAGUUUGGCUUCAGAAAAGAAGGUUCCCUCUCUGGCCAGGGGAUUCUUUGUUCUCCAGAUAUCAACUAAGUCCAAGUUGUCUGUCAUCUCAAAAAAGGUUUUCGGUAGUCUACCAUCCUUAGUGACUACCUGUCUUUGUGCCUUGUCCAUAUGUGUAGAUACCACUCCAUUCAUAUCUCCCAUCAAAAUCACAUUAUAGUCCAAAUAGUCCAUCAAGGUCUCAUGCAACUUUUUAAAGAAUUCAGAUUUCCCUCAUUUGGUGCAUAAACUCCUACUAUUAAAAAUUUCUCUCCUUGUAUUUGAAUUUCAAUUGCCACAAAUCUUCCUUGGUCAUCUUUGAAGAUAAAUUUCGGUAAUAGUCUCUCCUUUGCAUAAAUCACUACUCUUUUUUUAACUUUAUCCGAAGAAAUAAAUUCCUGGCCCAGUCUUUUGUUGAUCAAUACUUUCCUGUGUAACCUUGUUACAUGUGUUUCCUGUAAACAAAUCAAGUCCAAUUGUUCCUUUUUAAUAAAUGAAACACAGAUUUCCUUUUCUGAGGGGAGUUGAGACCAUUACAAUUCCAGCUUAAUAGUUGCAGAGCCAUGAUGUAGUUACUUUACUUCUCCUCCAACUGCACCAAGUGCCUGUUCCUGUUCUGUCGGUGGUAUCACCUUCUCCAGGCGGUCUUUUAAUUCAAAAGGUAGUCUUGGUAUGUCUAAAGUUCCUCUUUCUAGUAUUCUUGACUCUUCUCCAGCUUCUUUCUGCAGGUCUUCUCCGUGGUCUCUCAAAAAUCUUUCUUUGUCGUCCUCUGAUCUUAUUUUUAUCUUUCUUCCUUUGAAACUAAAGGAAAGGCCUUGGGGGAAUUCCCACCUAAAGAUGAUUUUGUUGCUUCUCAGCAGGGCAACCAGAUCUCUAUAAUUGGAUCUAAGGUCCAAAAGAUAUUUCGGAAUGUCCUUAAAUAUCUCCACCUUUGACUGAUGUAUUUCCAAAGUCUUCUGGAAGUGCAGACUCAAGAUUUUGUCUCUCUCCUCUUUUGUUCGGAGGGUGAUCAAACAGUCUCUCACCCUGUUCUUCUUCCCUCCUCUUCCAAGCCUGAAAGCGCUCACUAUCUUAAAGUUGUCCUUCUCCAAGUCUGGAUUCCAAAAGUCUGCAAAUUCCUGGGUAAGGAAGUCAGUCAAGUUGUCUUUCUCAAGUUCAGGUACGGCCCUGAUCCUCAAAUUCAUUUGUUUCUCCUUCAAUUCAAUCAUAGACAAUAUUAACCUGUGGUCUUCAAGUUGCUUGUGUAUCGGUGGUAUCUUCUCUUCUACAGCAACUGCUAUUUCCUUUGCUUCUUCAGCUGUCUUUCGGGUCGAAGUAGAUUCCUGUAGCAAUUUCUCAAUGGUUUCUGUGUUAGUAUUUACCUUCUGUCCCAAAUUGUUAAUACUUGUGGUAUUUUGAUCAAUUUUAACUGAUGCUUCAGCUACUUGUUUACUUAUUUUUUCCAGAGAUUCAUUAAUUUUACCUAGUGCCUGAGCUAAAGCAUCUUCGGAUGCCAUUCCUUUGGGUUUAGAUUGUACCAAUGCAGCCCCUGUUGGUAAGCCAGAAGGGCCAGAAGGGCCAGAUGUUGAUGCUCUUUGCUGCAGCCCAACGUCUGGGCGAAAUGAUCUACCAGACCUCAUUGUUUUUUCCUGAAGCAAAUCUAUUUUCUCUUUUUCUUUUGCCAUAACACUCUAGAUAAGGCCCAAGGUCAAUCCCACGACCAGAAUUUGUUUUGAAGUGGAAAAUUCCCCUGGCCCAGUUAUUAUUGUAACUGUUUCAAACUUCCUCUAGGGGGACACAGUAGCAGUCCGAAGUUGUUACCUUAAAAUAAAUAACCUUUUUUCUUUUAAUCCCCCCAGUUCACAAAAUAGAUGACAGUUUCAAUUUUCAGUUAUUUUCCAGUUACUUUGAAACCAGGAGAAGCCAGCCAGAAAUAUUGUAUCCCACUUGUAUCUCACUUGCAGAGUUAGCUGUCAGAAAGUACUUUCACCAAUAGCGCAUUUCACAGUACGGCAUUCUUAUUGUUCAUUGGCAGCCCGUUCCCAGGGUUUAAGCGGUGGAUUUUAGCUUCCUUUUCUCUCUUUUUGCAGGGAAAUACAGUUCACACCUUUCCCCCCUCCUCUCCUGCAAUCAAGGGGGGAAAUCGCUUGUUUUGAUGAUAGAAUUAUAGUCCUUUUCAAGCGUCUUUCAAGGUUUUAGCUUACAAGUUCAUUGCUUUACUCUAUUUACAAAGAACGGAAGGCAGACUUCCUGUUUAUGCCUCUCCGCUUCGGUAUCAAAUUACUUCUUUAUUCUUUGUUCUCCUUUAAUUCCCAAAUUAGCCUACUCACGGAUCGUUGUUUUGUAGCCAAAUUGUCACAGGAAAAGGUAGCGCUCUCCGGUAACGGCUGUGCGGCUUCGCUCCACGGAAGAAGCAGUUGACUCACAGCACCGCGCCGCUUCCCUGCUUCACUCCGGAACCCGUAAUCGGGCUCCUUUGCAAAUUGGGGGGGGCGCAAAAGGUGCCCGCCGAGUCCCACGGUCACAGGCUUCACCCGCCUGUGAUUUUAGAAGGGUCCCCGCUUCGCCGUAGUGGUACAGACCCGAUUUCUGCAGAGCCGGUCCCCUCCGAGUCAGAGGGACUCCGCCAUUACCGAUGGCGCCACCCCGGAAGUCUUUUUAACAAGCAAACCAACCAAUAUGGUUGCUAAUCACACAAUCUGAAUAAUGACUAAAGACCCCUCAGACAUCUUUUUUAUUAUUUUUGUGCAUGGUUAUAUCUGCUCAUGGGAUGCGGGUGGCACUGUGGGUUAAACCACAGAGCCUAGGGCUUGCCGAUCAGAAGGUCGGCGGUUCGAAUCCCUGUGACGGGGUGAGCUCCCGUUGCUUGGUCCCUGCUCCUGCCCACCUAGCAGUUCGAAAGCACAUCAAAGUGCAAGUAGAUAAACAGGUACCACUCCAGUGGGAAGGUAAACGGCGUUUCCAUGCACUGCUCUGGUUCGCCAGAAGCGGCUUAGUCAUGCUGGCCACAUGACCCGGAAGCUGUACGCCAGCUCCCUCGGCCAAUAAAGUGAGAUGAGCACUGCAACCCCAGAGUUGUCUGCAACUGGACCUAAUGGUCAGGGGUACCUUUACCUUUACCUAUAUCUGCUCAUGAGUGUAUAUGGGCAGUUAUACAUGAUCUCAUUUUUAAUACUGUUUAUAUCUGCAAAAGUUUUGGGUCAGACACACUGCUUUGUUUCCAGAUGGUGCUUGUUGCAUAGCUUCCUGUUGAAAGCCUGUAUUUUUUUGUGCCACAGAUCUUACGGGGCAGAGGGGCUGUCCCACUUUCUUUGUGCUAUAGUGCAAGAGUGCCCCUCCGGAUGGCAGUAACAUUGGGAAAGCAUCACAGAACGACUAAGGAAGCAGAACACGGUGCGG
This 9603-nucleotide long non-coding RNA is filed under the name Podarcis lilfordi (Lilford's wall lizard). Lineage: Eukaryota; Metazoa; Chordata; Lepidosauria; Squamata; Lacertidae. The record is from RNAcentral.